GCCGGGCAGCCACACCCCUCCCUCAGCCAGCCGCGCUUGAUUUACUCCGCCGGGCCGCUAAGCCACGCGGAAGGCCGCACGUGGGCACGGAUGGUGCGGCUUCCUGCCCGGGAAGCGCUCGCCAGGAAAAGAGAAAAGGCCUUUGGCGACAGAGGACCUUGCGUUCCGGUCCUGGACACCGCCGGCCAGGGACUUAGGCCCGAGGCCCUCACCUUCAGCACCAAAUCGGUCAGGUAGACGGCAGCCCAGCCACCCACCACUAAGACCACCAGCGACAUCGGAAUCAUGGCGGCAGCGGAAAGAAGGCGAGUGCCGGGGUCCACCUCUCUGCGAGCCGCAAACCGUCCCGUGCUUUAUUGCCACAAAAUCGGCGCAGGAACUAAGUUGUCUCCGGGUCUUUUGCCGCGGUGGCGACGUUUCCCUCCGGAGCCUUCCCCUGAACACACACGGGCAGAUUUGGAACCUAAAAAUUUAGUUAUUCAACUGAGUUGGUGUUCUCAUCAGGAGCCCAGCAGUCAAAACAAAGCACUGAAUUGAAUCCUGCUGGUUCCUGAAAUUUAGCAGUCGUGGAAGCCAGCUGGUGGCAGCAGAAGAGACCUGACAGAGGAUGCACAAAAUGACAGCAAAGAAUGCUUCAUUAUAAAAGAUCACGGUGCCAACUGCUGUCCACAGAUGUGCUGAGAGGCAAAGUGAGUGAAGGGCACACUGGAAGAAGAAAGCUGGUUCACAGUGACUCGUACUGUGCUAGUA
This is a non-coding RNA of Heterocephalus glaber (naked mole-rat), 750 nucleotides long. Lineage: Eukaryota; Metazoa; Chordata; Mammalia; Rodentia; Bathyergidae. The record is from RefSeq and is a predicted model, not a curated record.